CAGAAAGAGGCCAACUGGUUCACUAGCAUGGCUGUGGAGCAGCAGAAAACAGAGAGAGGCCAACUGGUUCACUAGCAUGGCUGUGGAGCAGCAGAAAACAGAGGGAGGCCAACUGGUUCAAUAGCAUGGCUGUGGAGCAGCAGAAAACAGAGGGAGGCCAACUUGUUCACUAGCAUGGCUGUGGAGCAGCAGAAAACAGAGGGAGGCCAACUGGUUCACUAGCAUGGAUGUGGAGCAGCAGCAAACAGAGGGAGGCCAACUGGUUCACUAGCAUGGCUGUGGAGGAG
This is a long non-coding RNA of Oncorhynchus tshawytscha (Chinook salmon), 287 nucleotides long. The record is from Ensembl. NCBI's taxonomy places the organism in Eukaryota, Metazoa, Chordata, Actinopteri, Salmoniformes, Salmonidae.